This 224-nucleotide ribosomal RNA is filed under the name uncultured bacterium. RNAcentral's name for it is "partial 16S ribosomal RNA". It matches the Rfam family "Bacterial small subunit ribosomal RNA", at positions 15 to 236 of the family's 1533-position model. The record is from RNAcentral.
GAUCAUGGCUCAGGAUGAACGCUGGCGGCGUGCUUAACACAUGCAAGUCGAACGGACGAUGAAAAGCUUGCUUUUCAAAGUUAGUGGCGGACGGGUGAGUAAUGCGUGGGUAACCUGCCUCAUACAGGGGGAUAGCAGCUGGAAACGGCUGAUAAAACCGCAUAAGCGCAUAGCAUCGCAUGAUGCAGUGUGAAAAACUCCGGUGGUAUGAGAUGGACCCGCGU